This 274-nucleotide ribosomal RNA is filed under the name uncultured bacterium. RNAcentral's name for it is "partial 16S ribosomal RNA". It matches the Rfam family "Bacterial small subunit ribosomal RNA", at positions 523 to 796 of the family's 1533-position model. The record is from RNAcentral.
AUACGAAGGGUGCUAGCGUUGUUCGGAAUUACUGGGCGUAAAGAGCAUGUAGGCGGAUUGAUUAGUCAGAGGUGAAAGCCCCGAGCUCAACUUGGGAAUUGCCUUUGAUACUGUCAAUCUAGAGACCGAGAGAGGUGAGUGGAAUUCCCAGUGUAGAGGUGAAAUUCGUAGAUAUUGGGAAGAACACCAGUGGCGAAGGCGGCUCACUGGCUCGGUACUGACGCUGAGAUGCGAAAGCGUGGGGGGCAAACAGGAUUAGAAACCCCAGUAGUCC